AUGAACGCUGGCGGCGUGCCUAAUACAUGCCAGUCGAGCGAACGGACGAGAAGCUUGCUUCUCUGAUGUUAGCGGCGGACGGGUGAGUAACACGUGGAUAACCUACCUAUAAGACUGGGAUAACUUCGGGAAACCGGAGCUAAUACCGGAUGAUAUUUUGAACCGCAUGGUUCCAAAGUGAAAGACGGUCUUGCUGUCACUUAUAGAUGGAUCCGCGCUGCAUUAGCUAGUUGGUAAGGUAACGGCUUACCAAGGCAACGAUGCAUAGCCGACCUGAGAGGGUGAUCGGCCACACUGGAACUGAGACACGGUCCAGACUCCUACGGGAGGCAGCAGUAGGGAAUCUUCCGCAAUGGGCGAAAGCCUGACGGAGCAACGCCGCGUGAGUGAUGAAGGUCUUCGGAUCGUAAAACUCUGUUAUUAGGGAAGAACAUAUGUGUAAGUAACUGUGCACAUCUUGACGGUACCUAAUCAGAAAGCCACGGCUAACUACGUG
This 496-nucleotide ribosomal RNA is filed under the name uncultured bacterium. RNAcentral describes it as "partial 16S ribosomal RNA". It matches the Rfam family "Bacterial small subunit ribosomal RNA", at positions 29 to 507 of the family's 1533-position model. The record is from RNAcentral.